This 76-nucleotide transfer RNA is filed under the name Candidatus Zambryskibacteria bacterium RIFCSPLOWO2_01_FULL_45_43. RNAcentral describes it as "tRNA-Cys". It matches the Rfam family "tRNA". Rfam says of the family: Transfer RNA (tRNA) molecules are approximately 80 nucleotides in length. Their secondary structure includes four short double-helical elements and three loops (D, anti-codon, and T loops). Further hydrogen bonds mediate the characteristic L-shaped molecular structure. tRNAs have two regions of fundamental functional importance: the anti-codon, which is responsible for specific mRNA codon recognition, and the 3' end, to which the tRNAs corresponding amino acid is attached (by aminoacyl-tRNA synthetases). tRNAs cope with the degeneracy of the genetic code in two manners: having more than one tRNA (with a specific anti-codon) for a particular amino acid; and 'wobble' base-pairing, i.e. permitting non-standard base-pairing at the 3rd anti-codon position. Lineage: Bacteria; Candidatus Zambryskiibacteriota. RNAcentral also lists the same sequence under 1 other name. The record is from RNAcentral.
GGCGUAGUGGCGAAGUGGUAACGCAGCAGUCUGCAAAACUGUUAUUGCAGGGGUUCGAUUCCCCUCUACGCCUCCA